This 332-nucleotide ribosomal RNA is filed under the name uncultured bacterium. Its description in RNAcentral is "bacterial SSU rRNA". It matches the Rfam family "Bacterial small subunit ribosomal RNA", at positions 28 to 342 of the family's 1533-position model. The record is from RNAcentral.
AGUGAACGCUGGCGGCAGGCCUAACACGUGCAAGUCGAGCGGCAGCGCGUCCGACCACCCUCGGGUGGUCGGAUGGCGGCGAGCGGCGGACGGGUGAGGAAUGCAUCGGAAUCUGCCUCGUUGUGGGGGAGUAACGUAGGGAAACGUUACGCUAAUACCGCAUACGACCUACGGGUGAAAGUGGGGGACCGUUCGGGCCUCACGCGAUGAGAUGAGCCGAUGCCGGAUUAGCUAGUUGGCGGGGUAAAGGGCCCGACCAACGGCGACGAUCCGUAGCUGGUCUGAGAGGAUGAUCAGCCACACUGGAACUGAGACACGGUCCAGACUCCUAC